GCCUGGGUAGCUUGGUCGGUUGAGCGUCUGGCUUCGGCUCAGGUCACGAUCUCACAGUUUGUGGGUUCGAGUCCCACGUUGGGCU
Molecule: transfer RNA, 85 nt
Filed under: Felis catus (domestic cat)
Lineage: Eukaryota; Metazoa; Chordata; Mammalia; Carnivora; Felidae
Rfam family: tRNA
About the family: Transfer RNA (tRNA) molecules are approximately 80 nucleotides in length. Their secondary structure includes four short double-helical elements and three loops (D, anti-codon, and T loops).
Source: Rfam by way of RNAcentral